AUGGCACCGUCAAAAGCACCGGGUGUGGACGGUUUUACCGCGGGCUUCUUUCAGAGGCAUUGGUCUCUGCUUAAAGAAGAUAUCAUCCCGGUGGUGUUGGGUUUUCUCAACGGUGGCGAACUGCCGGAGGGUAUGAAUGACACUGCUAUCGCACUUAUACCCAAGGUACUGCACCCACAAUGCAUCAAUCAGUAUAGACCUAUCUCCCUAUGUUCUGUACUAUACAAAAUUGCAGCAAAAUGCAUUGUCAACAGAAUAAGGGGCUUUCUUGAUGUUAUUGUGAGCGAGGAGCAGAGUGCUUUUGUGCCAGGGCAACUCAUCACGGAUAACGUGUUCAUUGCUCAUGAGAGUGUU
This 354-nucleotide ribosomal RNA is filed under the name Triticum aestivum (bread wheat). RNAcentral's name for it is "partial small subunit ribosomal RNA". The record is from RNAcentral. Lineage: Eukaryota; Viridiplantae; Streptophyta; Magnoliopsida; Poales; Poaceae.